UACGAAGGGGGCUAGCGUUGUUCGGAUUUACUGGGCGUAAAGCGCACGUAGGCGGCUCGUUAAGUUGGGGGUGAAAUCCUGGAGCUCAACUCCAGAACUGCCUUUGAUACUGAGGAUCUUGAGUCCGGGAGAGGUGAGUGGAACUGCGAGUGUAGAGGUGAAAUUCGUAGAUAUUCGCAAGAACACCAGUGGCGAAGGCGGCUCACUGGCCCGGUACUGACGCUGAGGCACGAAAGCGUGGGGAGCAAACAGG
Molecule: ribosomal RNA, 253 nt
Filed under: uncultured bacterium
Lineage: Bacteria
Description: partial 16S ribosomal RNA
Rfam family: Bacterial small subunit ribosomal RNA
Source: RNAcentral